UACGUAGGGUGCGAGCGUUGUCCGGAAUUACUGGGCGUAAAGGGUGCGUAGGCGGUCCGCUAAGUUGGAUGUGAAAACUCUGGGCUUAACCCAGAGCCUGCAUUCAAAACUGACGGGCUAGAGUUCUGGAGGGGGUAGCGGAAUUCCUGGUGUAGCGGUGAAAUGCGUAGAUAUCAGGAGGAACACCGGUGGCGAAGGCGGGUCUCUGGGCCGAUACUGACGCUGAGGAGCGAAAGCGUGGGGAGCGAACAGG
This 253-nucleotide ribosomal RNA is filed under the name uncultured bacterium. RNAcentral's name for it is "partial 16S ribosomal RNA". It matches the Rfam family "Bacterial small subunit ribosomal RNA", at positions 524 to 776 of the family's 1533-position model. The record is from RNAcentral.